GCCUGGGUGGCUCAGUGGUUGAGCAUCUGUCUUCAGCUCAGGUCGUGAUCCUGAGGUCCUGGGAUCAAGUCCUAGGUCAGGCU
RNAcentral lists this transfer RNA (83 nucleotides) under Canis lupus familiaris (dog). It matches the Rfam family "tRNA". From Rfam's summary of the family: Transfer RNA (tRNA) molecules are approximately 80 nucleotides in length. Their secondary structure includes four short double-helical elements and three loops (D, anti-codon, and T loops). Further hydrogen bonds mediate the characteristic L-shaped molecular structure. tRNAs have two regions of fundamental functional importance: the anti-codon, which is responsible for specific mRNA codon recognition, and the 3' end, to which the tRNAs corresponding amino acid is attached (by aminoacyl-tRNA synthetases). tRNAs cope with the degeneracy of the genetic code in two manners: having more than one tRNA (with a specific anti-codon) for a particular amino acid; and 'wobble' base-pairing, i.e. permitting non-standard base-pairing at the 3rd anti-codon position. The record is from Rfam by way of RNAcentral. Lineage: Eukaryota; Metazoa; Chordata; Mammalia; Carnivora; Canidae. RNAcentral also lists the same sequence under 1 other name.